ACCGAAAACCUUCUCCCGGGAUCAGGCGCGGCGGCACCCCCAGGCCAGGGGCACCUCUGGUGGGGCAGAAGGUGAUUGAAUUACUCAGAUAUGAAGAUCAUCAUCUAGGUUUUGUGUAAAAGGCCCUGGAUAUUUUAAGUGGCCAUUUUGGAUUUACAGUGUUUUUGGAUAAUUUUGCCCCAGAAGUUUAUUAAAAUUGGCAAGAAUCGUCUGUGAAGUGAAUUGAUAGUAGUGAACAAUUCAGCAAGCUACUUAAAAAGAGACCCAGGCAGCAUUUCUUCAGUAUUUUGGUUCAAACGGAUUAUAUAACUGGUUACAGUAUUUCAGCUGGUGGUAAUUUUUGCCUCCCCUUCCCCCACCCCGUUGUUGGGGUUCUUCAGCCGAAACUGAGAGACGUUGAUUUGUGUACUGAGUAGUUUCAGCAGUUUCAAAUGACUGAGUAUUGCUGAAGUUUCAUGGCAGUUUAUUUUUACCUUUAUUGAAAGUUUUAGGAAUUUUUGACUUCAGCUCUUUCAUGUCACAAUGGGACACUUUUUCUGAAUGAAGAGAUUGAAAGAAUACAGAGUUUUUUUCCUUUUAUCUUUUAUUUACGUGGAAAUUUAAGAUGUUGCAGUUUUCCGGCAGCAUGGUAGUAUUGAGAUAGCUAUGUGUGUCUCUGUAUAUGCUGAUGUUUAGGAAUGCUCUUCAGAUGUGAAAUUUUCUUUUUGUUUUUGCUUUUUGGCUCGUAAAUUGGAUAUUUCAUCUGGAGUGGACAAGUACAACAGUGGCAAGUACAUGGAAUAAUAAAGAAGACUUUGAUCUUAAAUCUAAAGAACUUGGCUAAUUCGGGAGAUAGCCAUAUGAAAACUUUAAAACAGAAGUAUGGGUAGCUGACUUGAAGUAACUCUAUGUCAAAUAGUCGUAGGUUAAGUAUCUUCAAAGAACUUCGAUAUUAUUUCAGAGGAUACAAAAUAAAAAUACAAACUGGAAAAUAAAGAUUACAGAGAAAAAACCAACACCUUCCUGUGCAGUCCUGUUGGAAUUUGGACUUGCCAUGAGGUGUUGAAGCCUUGUUUCACUGAGUUGGAGAGACUGGACCUAAAUGGCGCAGCAUGACUUUGCUCCAGCCUGGCUUAAUUUCCCUACUCCACCAUCAUCAACAAAGUCGUCAUUGAAUUUUGAGAAGCAUUCUGAAAACUUUGCAUGGACAGAGAAUCGUUAUGAUGUGAACCGUCGACGACACAACUCUUCAGAUGGCUUUGAUUCUGCUAUUGGGCGUCCUAAUGGAGGUAACUUUGG
This 1278-nucleotide long non-coding RNA is filed under the name Homo sapiens (human). RNAcentral's name for it is "long non-coding RNA NONHSAT202614.1". Lineage: Eukaryota; Metazoa; Chordata; Mammalia; Primates; Hominidae. The record is from RNAcentral.